This 76-nucleotide microRNA precursor is filed under the name Myotis lucifugus (little brown bat). RNAcentral's name for it is "mir-9193 microRNA precursor family". It matches the Rfam family "mir-9193 microRNA precursor family". Lineage: Eukaryota; Metazoa; Chordata; Mammalia; Chiroptera; Vespertilionidae. The record is from Rfam by way of RNAcentral.
CGGGGGGAGGGGGGGGUUUCCUCAGCCCAGAUUGUGAGAGGGUGAAGGCCAGGCUGAGGGACCCCACUGGUGCACG